GCCGUUGUAGCUCAGUUGGUAGAGCGUAUCCUUGGUAAGGAUAAGGUCACCGGUUCAAUCCCGGUCAAUGGCUCCA
RNAcentral lists this transfer RNA (76 nucleotides) under Desulfosporosinus meridiei. Its description in RNAcentral is "tRNA-Arg". It matches the Rfam family "tRNA". Rfam says of the family: Transfer RNA (tRNA) molecules are approximately 80 nucleotides in length. Their secondary structure includes four short double-helical elements and three loops (D, anti-codon, and T loops). RNAcentral also lists the same sequence under 23 other names. The record is from RNAcentral. Lineage: Bacteria; Bacillati; Bacillota; Clostridia; Eubacteriales; Desulfitobacteriaceae.